GAAAUUCGAUAAGUAAUGUGAAUUGCAGAAUUCAGUGAAUCAUCGAAUCUUUGAACGCACCUUGCGCUCCUUGGUAUUCCUUGGAGCAUGCCUGUUUGAGUAUCGUGAAAUCUUCAAAGUAAAUCUUUUGUUAACUCAAUUGGUUUCUACUUUGGUAUUGGAGGUCUUUGCAGCUUCACACCUUCUCCUCUUUGUUCAUUAGCUGGAUCUCAGUGUUAUGCUUGGUUCCACUCGGCGUGAUAAGUUAUCUAUCGCUGAGGACACUGUAAAAGGUGGCCAAGGUAAAUGCAGAUGAACCGCUUCUAAUAGUCCAUUGACUUGGACAAUACUUUUAUGAUCUGAUCUCAAAUCAGGUAGGACUACCCGCUGAACUUAAGC
Molecule: unclassified non-coding RNA, 378 nt
Filed under: plant metagenome
Description: partial contains 5.8S ribosomal RNA, internal transcribed spacer 2, and large subunit ribosomal RNA
Rfam family: 5.8S ribosomal RNA (bases 1-105)
Source: RNAcentral